CCUGGUGGCUCAGAUGGUAAAGCAUCUGCCUACAAUGCAGGAGACCCGGGUUUGAUCCCUGGGUCAGGA
Molecule: transfer RNA, 69 nt
Filed under: Bos indicus (zebu cattle)
Lineage: Eukaryota; Metazoa; Chordata; Mammalia; Artiodactyla; Bovidae
Also listed under: 1 other name
Rfam family: tRNA
About the family: Transfer RNA (tRNA) molecules are approximately 80 nucleotides in length.
Source: Rfam by way of RNAcentral